GAUGUUAAUACUACUCUGUAACAUUUCUUUAUUUUAAAAUUUGUUUAACAAAGUAUUUAUUGUAACGAGAUUGGUAAAAAAGUAUCCUUUUCCUUUUUCUAUAGUAGUUUGAGAGAUUUCGUAGUUAACAAGAAAGUCAAUAGGCAGCCACAACACAACGAGGCGAGGGUUACACAGAGGAAGGUAGGGAACCUAACCCAGGUUGGGAGGGUCGAUUCGGAAAGACUUGGGAAGGAAUGCCAUCCAAGCUACAACCUGGGGGAAACAUGGGCAGCGCAGGAGGUGAGGGGCUGCGGGUGGGCCAGGGGUGGGGCAGCAGUAUUUCCCUAAGAAAGUAAGGGGCGCUUGUGUUACGUGUGUUGGGGGAACGUGGUAAAGACCCUGUAAACCAUGUUCGUGAGUCUGGACCUCAUCCCGAGGAAAGGCGGAAUCAGAACCGGAGUUGAGCAGCAGGCAAGAGCAGGUCCUAGGAGACAGGGCGAGGAAUCUGGCGUCUGUACGUAAUUGGUAGAAGCUCGAAUUCUUUACAAGAUGGUUUCUCCCCCACGUGAUGCCUUUCCUUCUCACUGGGCCUCCCGUUUGUGCCUUGGCCGCCUGCCCCACGCAGAUGGGGCGCGGUGCUAACUGCUGUCCCCUGGCGGCCGCCGGGGCCCCUGCCGCCCCGAGUGUGUCCCAGGCUCCCUGCCUCUUCCAGCCGCAGCGCCCCUCUGUCCCUCGGGCAGUCCCAGCUCGCCACUGUGAAGGCCCUGCCCAUGUGGUUUCUCCCUUUAGUCUCCUUGCUGUGCCAAAAGCCCUCUGCUGUGGCCUCGGGGGAUUCCGAGACGCUGAGUCACACGCGGGGCCUCUGACGCUGCGACUGACUCGGUUCCUCUGCCGGCGGCGUGCAGGGGGCUCUGCCUGCGCAGCAGCGUUUUCGCACAGAGCGUCUUGGAAGAGAGGAGAGCUGACCCUGGGCUUUCCUCCCGAGUGCGGCCUGAGAGGGAGGGCGGGGCUCGCGCUAAGAAUCAGAGGGUUUUCAUCGCGGCUCAGGCUGCUGAGUUUUACCCUUCUCAAAGGUGCCACAGCAUGGCUUUAUCAGCAGGGUGUAGGUCCAUACCCGGGAUCCAGGCCUGCAAACCUUGGGCUUCUGAAGCAGAGCGCACGAACCUAACCACUAUGCCACUGAGCCGGCCCCAGGAGAAUGUGUCUUGAUGCUCCCUCAAUUCCUAUUCUGAGUCUUUAAAGCCAUAUUAAAUAAUUAUAGAUUUUUGAAAUCUUCCUUUGCAUGUUACUGUAUGAAUGUUGAGUAGCUAAAGCACUGAAAACAUUAUUUAACAUAAUUAUUUUUACUGUGUUUCAAAAUGAGACUGGAGAAAUAAAAGACAGGUCAUGGGUAUCAUUC
This 1381-nucleotide long non-coding RNA is filed under the name Equus asinus (donkey). Its description in RNAcentral is "lncRNA (ENSEASG00005036162.1)". The record is from RNAcentral. Lineage: Eukaryota; Metazoa; Chordata; Mammalia; Perissodactyla; Equidae.